CUUUGAUCCAUGGUGUGGUAUGGUUUGAGGAAAAAAGAGAAAACCCAUUUGCCCCAUAUUGAUUGUAAUCUAUUCUUUAAUUAAAAUCUUUGGUUUCUUGGAGGGUAUUGAAAAAAAUACCCAUAUUGCUGUUUGCCAAAUCUCCAAUGCAGUCUUUGAGAAAAUCACAAAGACGAGAAAAUAGCAUCAGUAGGAAGACAACCCAGGAAAGAAAUAGUAGUGGUGGAUCUCAGAAAGAAAUAGAAAGAUUGGAUAACAACGGCCGUGGAUCUGAUGGUGGCUGGGGCAUUAUUGGGAUUGGAAGGAGUCAAGCAGCUGAUAAUUUGUUGUUGUGGAAGUGGUGCUGCUAGGGUAGUGGAGGUGUCGCUGCAUAGGAGAGGAAUAUGCAGCUUCACAUCUCGCCUAGCAUGAGAAGCAUCACGAUAUCGAGCAGCAGCAGCAAUGGGUUUAUUGACUUGAUGAAGAUCAAGGUCGCAGCUCGCCACAUCUCUUAUCGAACCCUUUUUCAUACCAUCCUCAUUCUCGCUUUUCUGUUGCCUUUUGUCUUCAUUCUCACCGCUCUUGUCACCCUUGAAGGUGUCAACAAGUGCUCUUCAUUUGAUUGUUUAGGUAGGCGACUGGGACCAAGGCUUCUGGGUAGAGUGGAUGAUUC
Molecule: unclassified non-coding RNA, 652 nt
Filed under: Hevea brasiliensis (rubber tree)
Lineage: Eukaryota; Viridiplantae; Streptophyta; Magnoliopsida; Malpighiales; Euphorbiaceae
Source: RNAcentral